CCCGUACGAUCACCGAAGUUAAGCAACGUCGAGCAUGUUCAGUAACUAGAUGGGUGACCACUUCUGAAUACCAGGUACUGUAAG
This is a non-coding RNA of Acanthosepion pharaonis, 84 nucleotides long. The record is from the annotation of a GenBank genome assembly. NCBI's taxonomy places the organism in Eukaryota, Metazoa, Mollusca, Cephalopoda, Sepiida, Sepiidae.